AGUGAACGCUGGCGGUAGGCCUAACACAUGCAAGUCGAACGGCAGCACAGUAAGAGCUUGCUCUUACGGGUGGCGAGUGGCGGACGGGUGAGGAAUACAUCGGAAUCUACUUUUUCGUGGGGGAUAACGUAGGGAAACUUACGCUAAUACCGCAUACGACCUACGGGUGAAAGCAGGGGAUCUUCGGACCUUGCGCGAUUGAAUGAGCCGAUGUCGGAUUAGCUAGUUGGCGGGGUAAAGGCCCACCAAGGCGACGAUCCGUAGCUGGUCUGAGAGGAUGAUCAGCCACACUGGAACUGAGACACGGUCCAGACUCCUACGGGAGGCAGCAGUGGGGAAUAUUGGACAAUGGGCGCAAGCCUGAUCCAGCCAUACCGCGUGGGUAAAGAAGGCCUUCGGGUUGUAAAGCCCUUUUGUUGGGAAAGAAAAGCAGCAGGUUAAUACCCCGCUGUUCUGACGGUACCCAAAGAAUAAGCACCGGCUAACUUCGUGC
Molecule: ribosomal RNA, 493 nt
Filed under: uncultured bacterium
Lineage: Bacteria
Description: partial 16S ribosomal RNA
Rfam family: Bacterial small subunit ribosomal RNA
Source: RNAcentral